UGAAUACGAGAUGCUACGGCGUCGAAGCAGUCUAUGUCAUACUUCCAAGAAAAGCUUGCACUGUCAUAAACAAAUAAUGCCUGUACCAUAACCGACACAGGUGGGUAGGUAGAGUAUACUAAGGGGCGCGAGUUAACUCUCUCUAAGGAACUCGGCAAAAUGACUCCGUAACUUCGGGAGAAGGAGUGCCUUAUUUAUAAGGUUGCAAUAACAAGAUCCAAGCAACUGUUUACCAAAAACACAGGUCUCCGCUAAGUCGUAAGACGAUGUAUGGGGGCUGACGCCUGCCCAGUGCCAGAAGGUUAAAGAAGUUGGUUAGCAUCCGCGAAGCUGAUAACUGAAGCCCUGGUGAACGGCGGCCGUAACAAUAACGGUCCUAAGGUAGCGAAAUUCCUUGUCGGGUAAGUUCCGACCCGCACGAAAGGCGUAAUGAUUUGGAUACUGUCUCGGAGAGGGGCUCGGUGAAAUAGACUUGUCUGUGAAGAUGCGGACUACCUGCACCAGGACAGAAAGACCCUAUGAAGCUUUACUGUAGCCUGAAAUUGAAAUUGGACUUUACUUGCGCAGUAUAGGUGGGAGGCGUUGAGAAUAUUCUUGCGGGAUUAUUGGAGCCAUCAGUGAGAUACCACUCUUGUAAUGUUAGAUUUCUAACUUUGUAUCAUUAUCUGGUCAAAGAACAGUUUCAGGCGGGCAGUUUGACUGGGGCGGUCGCCUCCUAAACGGUAACGGAGGCGCACAAAGGUUUCCUCUGAACGGGUAGAAAUCGUAUCUAGAGUGUAAAGGCAUAGGAAGCUUGACUGUGAGACCUACAAGUCGAGCAGGGACGAAAGUCGGUCUUAGUGAUCUGACGGUGCUGAGUGGAAAGGCCGUCACUCAACGGAUAAAAGUUACUCUAGGAUAACAGGCUGAUCUCCCCCAAGAGUUCACAUCGACGGGGAGGUUUGGCACCUCGAUGUCGGCUCAUCGCAUCCUGGGGCGGUAGUACGUCCCAAGGGUUGGGCUGUUCGCCCAUGAAAGCGGUACGCGAGCUGGGUUCAGAACGUCGUGAGACAGUUCGGUCCAUAUCCGGUGUAGGCGUUAGAAUAUUGAGAGGAGCCUUCUUUAGUACGAGAGGACCGAGAAGGACAUACCUCUGGUGUACCAGUUAUCGUGCCAACGGUAAACGCUGGGUAGCUAUGUGUGGAGUGGAUAACCGCUGAAAGCAUCUAAGUGGGAAGCCCACCUCAAGAUGAUUGCUCUCACAGGGUUAACCUGGUAAGGUCACGGGAAGACCACCCGUUGAUAGGCACUCGGUGGAAGUCCAGCAAUGGAUGAAGCCAAGGUGUACUAACAGACCGAGGGCUUGACC
This 1348-nucleotide ribosomal RNA is filed under the name metagenome. RNAcentral's name for it is "bacterial LSU rRNA". It matches the Rfam family "Bacterial large subunit ribosomal RNA", at positions 1564 to 2925 of the family's 2925-position model. The record is from RNAcentral.